GCAGGGCCACGCGCUGGGAUGGCUGAUGCCCGAGCUGCAUCAGCCCUUGCGCGGCCCUCCCCGGUUCUGCACACUCCUAGCCCAUCUAAAUAUUUACCUGGGUGGCGUGUCUGAGUUACUAUGGAUGUCACAGUCAAGUAAAAAUAAUGUUCCUGAAAAAAGUGGCCAGUUCAGCUCGCAACUCACACAGCUGCGCAGUAUUCCUGGAGACCAUCGCAGCACUGCAGCACGCCCGCGGGCUUCAUGUGAACUGUCAUCCACAGAGCGUUAUUAAAAGGCUGGACCCCUGAGAGCAAGAAGUCUGAAUGGGGGUCAUCAGUACACGCCGAACGGAGCGGCUGAUGAUCAUCCGGGGGUCGCCUGAUGAGGCAAUUCUGUAUGCGAUCUAUAAGCAGAACACGGCCCACACUCCAGGGUCAUCAGUGACACCGACUUCCUCCAGGUGGUGAA
This is a long non-coding RNA of Bubalus bubalis (water buffalo), 450 nucleotides long. RefSeq lists it as uncharacterized. The record is from RefSeq and is a predicted model, not a curated record. The transcript is spliced from 3 exons. Lineage: Eukaryota; Metazoa; Chordata; Mammalia; Artiodactyla; Bovidae.